RNAcentral lists this ribosomal RNA (648 nucleotides) under Triticum aestivum (bread wheat). Its description in RNAcentral is "partial small subunit ribosomal RNA". Lineage: Eukaryota; Viridiplantae; Streptophyta; Magnoliopsida; Poales; Poaceae. The record is from RNAcentral.
AUGGGGAUCAAAUAUGUACCUUCUAGGUAUAUAUUGCAGCGAUGGAGAAAGGAUUUUAAGCGCAAACACGUAUUUAUUAAAUGCUCCUACGAUGAUAUGUUGAAUACACCAGUUGUGCAGCAUUAUGAUGAAUUAUGCAAGCGUUCUCACGAAGUGGCAGAGAAAGGUGCAGAGUCCGAUGAAUUGCGUGACUUGGUGAUGGAUGGGCUUGAUCAGUUAGAAAGAAAGGUUGAUGCAUACCGUGCUAACCAUGCUUUUCAAGUACAGGCAGAAGAUCCAACAUCAAAGCAUGAAGAUAAAAUGUUAAAGAAAGAAAAACUUGUACUCAGUCCAAUCCCUGUUCGCAGUGCAGGCCGUCCUCGUUCAAAGAGAAAGCUAUCUAAAGUGGAUCAAUUGAUCCAAAAAUUGAGAGCAAAGAAGCGGCAGGUGCCAACAAGUACAACCAAAGUGCAGACUCAUAAGGGGAGAAAGCAGAAUUACGUCAUCAAAUCAAAAGGUGGGCAAGACGCUAAUCUCCAGAGUUCACAACAAACAGAGGGAAAUAUUCACUAUGAAGGGUAUGGGGCUAGAAGUUAUUGGUUCUUUCCAAAUGAGUUUCAGGGAAAGAAAAAUGCCAUGGAUCUGCUAGCUGCCAACCUGAAGGAAUGA